Long non-coding RNA from Humulus lupulus (European hop), 282 nucleotides. RefSeq lists it as uncharacterized. The transcript has 3 exons. Lineage: Eukaryota; Viridiplantae; Streptophyta; Magnoliopsida; Rosales; Cannabaceae. The record is from RefSeq and is a predicted model, not a curated record.
AUAUAGGGAUAUUAUAGUUGAUUGUGGUUACAGUUUUCUACGACGGUCCGACUUUCGUUACCUUGGACCUAAUAUUGAAUUGGAGACAGAGAAAAACUUAUUGCCCGACCCACACUUACCACUAUAUCAAAGUUGGAAGAGAAUGCAUUACUACGAAAGAUUUAUGGGUUCCCUUGACCAUUGUAAUGAAAUAUAUAUUCCCAUUUUCAUCAUGAAACACUACAUGCUUGCUCGAGUAAUUAUAAAAGAAAGAAAAGUUGAAGUUUGGGACUCACUUGCUCA